This 69-nucleotide transfer RNA is filed under the name Marmota marmota marmota (Alpine marmot). It matches the Rfam family "tRNA". From Rfam's summary of the family: Transfer RNA (tRNA) molecules are approximately 80 nucleotides in length. Their secondary structure includes four short double-helical elements and three loops (D, anti-codon, and T loops). Further hydrogen bonds mediate the characteristic L-shaped molecular structure. tRNAs have two regions of fundamental functional importance: the anti-codon, which is responsible for specific mRNA codon recognition, and the 3' end, to which the tRNAs corresponding amino acid is attached (by aminoacyl-tRNA synthetases). tRNAs cope with the degeneracy of the genetic code in two manners: having more than one tRNA (with a specific anti-codon) for a particular amino acid; and 'wobble' base-pairing, i.e. permitting non-standard base-pairing at the 3rd anti-codon position. RNAcentral also lists the same sequence under 1 other name. Lineage: Eukaryota; Metazoa; Chordata; Mammalia; Rodentia; Sciuridae. The record is from Rfam by way of RNAcentral.
GGGGCUGUAGCUCAGUGGUAGAGCGCCCGCCUUGCACGUGUGAGGCAUGGGGUUUGAUCCUCAGCACCA